AGUGAACGCUGGCGGUAGGCCUAACACAUGCAAGUCGAACGGCAGCACAGUAAGAGCUUGCUCUUACGGGUGGCGAGUGGCGGACGGGUGAGGAAUACAUCGGAAUCUACUUUUUCGUGGGGGAUAACGUAGGGAAACUUACGCUAAUACCGCAUACGACCUACGGGUGAAAGCAGGGGAUCUUCGGACCUUGCGCGAUUGAAUGAGCCGAUGUCGGAUUAGCUAGUUGGCGGGGUAAAGGCCCACCAAGGCGACGAUCCGUAGCUGGUCUGAGAGGAUGAUCCGCCACACUGGAACUGAGACACGUUCCAGACUCCUACGGGAGGCAGCAGUGGGGAAUAUUGGACAAUGGGCGCAAGCCUGAUCCAGCCAUACCGCGUGGGUGAAGAAGGCCUUCGGGUUGUAAAGCCCUUUUGUUGGGAAAGAAAAGCAGCAGGUUAAUACCCCGCUGUUCUGACGGUACCCAAAGAAUAAGCACCGGCUAACUUCGUG
This 492-nucleotide ribosomal RNA is filed under the name uncultured bacterium. RNAcentral's name for it is "partial 16S ribosomal RNA". It matches the Rfam family "Bacterial small subunit ribosomal RNA", at positions 29 to 507 of the family's 1533-position model. The record is from RNAcentral.